UUUAUUGGAGAGUUUGAUCCUGGCUCAGGACGAACGCUGGCGGCGUGCCUAAUACAUGCAAGUCGAGCGGACUUGUGAGAGCUUGCUCUCGCAAGUUAGCGGCGGACGGGUGAGUAACACGUGGGCAACCUGCCUGUAAGACUGGGAUAACUUCGGGAAACCGGAGCUAAUACCGGAUAAUUCUUUCCUACACAUGUAGGGAAGCUGAAAGAUGGCUUCGGCUAUCACUUACAGAUGGGCCCGCGGCGCAUUAGCUAGUUGGUGAGGUAACGGCUCACCAAGGCAACGAUGCGUAGCCGACCUGAGAGGGUGAUCGGCCACACUGGGACUGAGACACGGCCCAGACUCCUACGGGAGGCAGCAGUAGGGAAUCUUCCGCAAUGGACGAAAGUCUGACGGAGCAACGCCGCGUGAGUGAUGAAGGUUUUCGGAUCGUAAAACUCUGUUGUUAGGGAAGAACAAGUACCGUUCGAAUAGGGCGGUACCUUGACGGUACCUAACCAGAAAGCCACGGCUAACUACGUGCCAGCAGCCGCGGUAAUACGUAGGUGGCAAGCGUUGUCCGGAAUUAUUGGGCGUAAAGCGCGCGCAGGUGGUUCCUUAAGUCUGAUGUGAAAGCCCACGGCUCAACCGUGGAGGGUCAUUGGAAACUGGGGAACUUGAGUGCAGAAGAGGAAAGUGGAAUUCCACGUGUAGCGGUGAAAUGCGUAGAGAUGUGGAGGAACACCAGUGGCGAAGGCGACUUUCUGGUCUGUAACUGACACUGAGGCGCGAAAGCGUGGGGAGCGAACAGGAUUAGAUACCCUGGUAGUCCACGCCGUAAACGAUGAGUGCUAAGUGUUAGGGGGUUUCCGCCCCUUAGUGCUGCAGCUAACGCAUUAAGCACUCCGCCUGGGGAGUACGGCCGCAAGGCUGAAACUCAAAGGAAUUGACGGGGGCCCGCACAAGCGGUGGAGCAUGUGGUUUAAUUCGAAGCAACGCGAAGAACCUUACCAGGUCUUGACAUCCUCUGCCAACCCUAGAGAUAGGGCGUUCCCCUUCGGGGGACAGAGUGACAGGUGGUGCAUGGUUGUCGUCAGCUCGUGUCGUGAGAUGUUGGGUUAAGUCCCGCAACGAGCGCAACCCUUGAUCUUAGUUGCCAGCAUUCAGUUGGGCACUCUAAGGUGACUGCCGGUGACAAACCGGAGGAAGGUGGGGAUGACGUCAAAUCAUCAUGCCCCUUAUGACCUGGGCUACACACGUGCUACAAUGGAUGGUACAAAGGGCUGCGAGACCGCGAGGUUAAGCGAAUCCCAUAAAACCAUUCUCAGUUCGGAUUGCAGGCUGCAACUCGCCUGCAUGAAGCCGGAAUCGCUAGUAAUCGCGGAUCAGCAUGCCGCGGUGAAUACGUUCCCGGGCCUUGUACACACCGCCCGUCACACCACGAGAGUUUGUAACACCCGAAGUCGGUGGGGUAACCGUAAGGAGCCAGCCGCCUAAGGUGGGACAGAUGAUUGGGGUGAAGUCGUAACAAGGUAGCCGUAUCGGAAGGUGCGGCUGGAUCACCUCCUUUCUA
RNAcentral lists this ribosomal RNA (1555 nucleotides) under Cytobacillus dafuensis. RNAcentral describes it as "bacterial SSU rRNA". It matches the Rfam family "Bacterial small subunit ribosomal RNA". Lineage: Bacteria; Bacillati; Bacillota; Bacilli; Caryophanales; Bacillaceae. The record is from RNAcentral.